GUGGCGAACGGGUGAGUAACACGUAGGGAACCUGCCCCUAAGACGAGGAUAACUACUGGAAACGGUAGCUAAUACUGGAUAGGAUAAGUUGACGCAUGUUGGCUUAUUUAAAGGUGCCUAUAAAGCACCGCUUAGGGAUGGCCCUGCGGCGCAUUAGCUAGUUGGUGGGGUAACGGCCUACCAAGGCGACGAUGUGUAGCUGUGCUGAGAGGCAGAACAGCCACACUGGGACUGAGACACGGCCCAGACUCCUACGGGAGGCAGCAGUAGGGAAUUUUCGGCAAUGGGGGGAACCCUGACCGAGCGAUGCCGCGUGAGUGAUGAAGGUCUUCGGACUGUAAAACUCUGUUAUUAGGGAAGAAUACUAUAGGGAGGAAAUGCCUUAUAGAUGACGGUACCUAAUGAGGAAGCCCCGGCCAACUAUGUGCCAGCAGCCGCGGUAAUACAUAGGGGGCGAGCGUUAUCCGGAAUUACUGGGCGUAAAGGGUGCGUAGGCGGUUUCUUAAGUCUAGUGUGAAAGCCCACG
RNAcentral lists this ribosomal RNA (526 nucleotides) under uncultured bacterium. Its description in RNAcentral is "bacterial SSU rRNA". It matches the Rfam family "Bacterial small subunit ribosomal RNA", at positions 95 to 606 of the family's 1533-position model. The record is from RNAcentral.